GGGGUCAUAGCUCAAUUGGCUAGAGCGUCUGCCUUGCAAGCAGGAGGUUAGGAGUUCGAUUCUCCUUGAUUCCAC
RNAcentral lists this transfer RNA (75 nucleotides) under Tolypothrix sp. NIES-4075. RNAcentral's name for it is "tRNA-Ala". It matches the Rfam family "tRNA". From Rfam's summary of the family: Transfer RNA (tRNA) molecules are approximately 80 nucleotides in length. Lineage: Bacteria; Bacillati; Cyanobacteriota; Cyanophyceae; Nostocales; Tolypothrichaceae. The record is from RNAcentral.